RNAcentral lists this long non-coding RNA (722 nucleotides) under Bos taurus (domestic cattle). RNAcentral describes it as "long non-coding RNA NONBTAT021561". The record is from RNAcentral. Lineage: Eukaryota; Metazoa; Chordata; Mammalia; Artiodactyla; Bovidae.
GGGUUGUUAGGAAAGGCAGAUGUUAUUAUGUAUCUCAAGGCAAUUUGAGGGGCUUUGCCUGUUAUCAAUAAAUGUAAUUAAAAGAAGGGCAAGUAGGUGAGGUAGUUGGCUAGUGAUAGGAUGUGGUCCAUUCAGCCUGCAUGAGUGUACAUAGACAUUUUGUAACUGGUGCUCCAGGCCAAUCUUAGGAGAUUCCAGGCCAGAAAAAAGACUUUUAUUUCAUCUGGAUAAACCAUUCAUCUAAAGUUUUUUACAAGUGAUUUAUUUCCUGCUAAGAGGGAGAAGCCAGGGAUAGAAUACACACCCACUCAGAGAGAACUCACUUCCUUUCUGUUAGCAUUUCUGAGUGAAGCUGUGCUCUGCAGCUUGGUUCUGUAGUGUCACCGAGUGACCUCCAGAGGCCAGGGCCAGGAUGGACUGCCUAGGAGCACCCAUGCUGGGGAGCAGGUGGAGUACCCUGGAAGGGUCCCUUCCAGGACGCCUGCUGUGGCCUGGGUUCUGCCCGCUGAGCGGCACCUGCUUGCUCACCACACUUAACCACACUGCUCUAUGAGUCUCAUCCCUGCAUCUGUGCCCUUGCUGACUGAGGUCCUUCUCAGCAGUUGUUAAACUGCAAGUCUGUGGCAUCUGUCUUUGGAUCCCCACCAAAGAUUUUUCCCUGAAAAAAAAAAAACUAAAGGGCUGAUUGGGCAUUCUCUUUGAUUCUGAUUUUUCUUUGUUUC